AUUGAACGCUGGCGGCAUGCCUUACACAUGCAAGUCGAACGGCAGCGGGGGAGAAGCUUGCUUUUCCUGCCGGCGAGUGGCGAACGGGUGAGUAAUACAUCGGAACGUGCCCUGUAGUGGGGGAUAACUAGUCGAAAGAUUAGCUAAUACCGCAUACGACCUGAGGGUGAAAGUGGGGGACCGCAAGGCCUCAUGCUAUAGGAGCGGCCGAUGUCUGAUUAGCUAGUUGGUGGGGUAAAGGCCUACCAAGGCGACGAUCAGUAGCUGGUCUGGAAGGACCAUCAGCCACACUGGGACUGAGACACGGCCCAGACUCCUACGGGAGGCAGCAGUGGGGAAUUUUGGACAAUGGGCGAAAGCCUGAUCCAGCAAUGCCGCGUGUGUGAAGAAGGCCUUCGGGUUGUAAAGCACUUUUGUCCGGAAAGAAACGGCUCUGGUUAAUACCUGGGGUCGAUGACGGUACCGGAAGAAUAAGGACCGGCUAACUACGUGCCAGCCGCCGCCGUAA
This 508-nucleotide ribosomal RNA is filed under the name uncultured bacterium. RNAcentral describes it as "partial 16S ribosomal RNA". It matches the Rfam family "Bacterial small subunit ribosomal RNA", at positions 30 to 523 of the family's 1533-position model. The record is from RNAcentral.